AGCUUUGCACAGUGGCAGGAUCAUAGCUAAUGAGGUUUAUCUGAGGUGCUAUUAUCACUAAUUGAAAACUGAUCUCUUAACCCAUUAUUACCUCUGCACUAGUUACUCUUCUUUCCUUUCCCCACCUUGACCCCUUGGUAAAUCAGUUCAUCUUUACAAUGUUCUCUGGAGU
RNAcentral lists this small nuclear RNA (172 nucleotides) under Monodelphis domestica (gray short-tailed opossum). Its description in RNAcentral is "U4 spliceosomal RNA". It matches the Rfam family "U4 spliceosomal RNA". From Rfam's summary of the family: U4 small nuclear RNA (U4 snRNA) is a component of the major U2-dependent spliceosome. The record is from Rfam by way of RNAcentral. Lineage: Eukaryota; Metazoa; Chordata; Mammalia; Didelphimorphia; Didelphidae.